RNAcentral lists this unclassified non-coding RNA (265 nucleotides) under fungal sp. RNAcentral describes it as "partial internal transcribed spacer region". The stretch from base 1 to 46 matches the Rfam family "Eukaryotic small subunit ribosomal RNA", at positions 1786 to 1831 of the family's 1831-position model. The record is from RNAcentral. Lineage: Eukaryota; Fungi. RNAcentral also lists the same sequence under 1 other name.
AAGUCGUAACAAGGUUUCCGUAGGUGAACCUGCGGAAGGAUCAUUACAACGUAUCCAUCCGUUAAACCGAUCGGUGCAAGUUUACUGUACACUGGAGGGUCCGUCUUGCAUUGGAGUAACUUCCCUUGCUAAGCGGGUUGCUUUCUGGUGAUUUUGGAGAAAGCCUAAACCUUUUUAAUAUUUGUCUUAAAAAGUUCUCUUCUCGAAAGGGAAGGGGGCGAAAUAUUUAACCGCACAACUCUUAACAAUGGAUAUCUUGGUUCUC